RNAcentral lists this ribosomal RNA (462 nucleotides) under uncultured Megasphaera sp. RNAcentral describes it as "bacterial SSU rRNA". It matches the Rfam family "Bacterial small subunit ribosomal RNA", at positions 89 to 524 of the family's 1533-position model. The record is from RNAcentral. Lineage: Bacteria; Bacillati; Bacillota; Negativicutes; Veillonellales; Veillonellaceae.
UCGAGUGGGCAAAACGGGUGAGUAAACGCGUAAAACAACCUGCCUUCGGAUGGGGAUACAGCCGGAAACGGCUGCUAAUACCGAAUACGAUCUUUCGUCGCAUGACGGAAAAGAAGAAAAGGAUGGCCUCUAUACAAAGCUAUCGCCGAAGGAGGGGUUUGCGUCUGAUUAGCUGGUUGGAGGGUAACGGCCCAACAAGGCGAUGAUCAGUAGCCCCGGUCUGAGAGGAUGAACGGCCACAUUGGGACUGAGACACGGCCCAGACUCCUACGGGAGGCAGCAGUGGGGGAAUCUUCCGCAAUGGACGAAAGUCUGACGGAGCAACGCCGCGUGAGUGAAGAAGGUCUUCGGAUUGUAAAGCUCUGUUAUACGGGACGAAAAAGACGGAUGCCAACAGUAUCCGUCCGUGACGGUACCGUAAGAGAAAGCCACGGCUAACUACGUGCCAGCAGCCGCGGUAAU